GUGCUCACCUCAGCAGCACAUACAGUAAAAAUUGGAAUGAUAUAGAGAAGAUUAGCAUGGCCCCUGUGCAAGGAUGACAUGCAAAUUCAUGAAGCCUUCCAUACUUUU
Molecule: small nuclear RNA, 108 nt
Organism: Cercocebus atys (sooty mangabey)
Lineage: Eukaryota; Metazoa; Chordata; Mammalia; Primates; Cercopithecidae
Source: Ensembl